ACGCUAGCUACAGGCUUAACACAUGCAAGUCGAGGGGAAACGGCAUUUAGUGCUUGCACUGAAUGGACGUCGACCGGCGCACGGGUGAGUAACGCGUAUCCAACCUUCCCAUUACUGUGGGAUAACCUGCCGAAAGGCAGACUAAUACCGCAUAGUCUUCGAUGACGGCAUCAGAUUUGAAGUAAAGAUUUAUCGGUAAUGGAUGGGGAUGCGUCUGAUUAGCUUGUUGGCGGGGUAACGGCCCACCAAGGCAACGAUCAGUAGGGGUUCUGAGAGGAAGGUCCCCCACAUUGGAACUGAGACACGGUCCAAACUCCUACGGGAGGCGGCAGUGAGGAAUAUUGGUCAAUGGACGAGAGUCUGAACCAGCCAAGUAGCGUGCAGGAUGACGGCCCUAUGGGUUGUAAACUGCUUUUGUAUGGGGAUAAAGUCAAUCACGUGUGAUUGUUUGCAGGUACCAUACGAAUAAGGACCGGCUAAUUCCGUGCCAGCAGCCGCGGUAAUACGGAAGGUCCGGGCGUUAUCCGGAUUUAUUGGGUUUAAAGGGAGCGUAGGCCGGAGAUUAAGUGUGUUGUGAAAUGUAGACGCUCAACGUCUGACUUGCAGCGCAUACUGGUUUCCUUGAGUACGCACAACGUUGGCGGAAUUCGUCGUGUAGCGGUGAAAUGCUUAGAUAUGACGAAGAACUCCGAUUGCGAAGGCAGCUGACGGGAGCGCAACUGACGCUUAAGCUCGAAGGUGCGGGUAUCGAACAGGAUUAGAUACCCUGGUAGUCCGCACAGUAAACGAUGGAUGCCCGCUGUUGGUACCUGGUAUCAGCGGCUAAGCGAAAGCAUUAAGCAUCCCACCUGGGGAGUACGCCGGCAACGGUGAAACUCAAAGGAAUUGACGGGGGCCCGCACAAGCGGAGGAACAUGU
RNAcentral lists this ribosomal RNA (918 nucleotides) under uncultured bacterium. RNAcentral's name for it is "bacterial SSU rRNA". It matches the Rfam family "Bacterial small subunit ribosomal RNA", at positions 33 to 942 of the family's 1533-position model. The record is from RNAcentral.